UACAGAGGUCCCAAGCGUUGUUCGGAUUCACUGGGCGUAAAGGGUGCGUAGGUGGCCAGGUAAGUUUGGUGUGAAAGCUCGGAGCUUAACUCCGAAAUGUCAUUGAAUACUAUCUGGCUGGAGGGUCGGAGGGGAGACUGGAAUUCUCGGUGUAGCAGUGAAAUGCGUAGAUAUCGAGAGGAACACCAGUGGCGAAGGCGAGUCUCUGGACGACUCCUGACACUGAGGCACGAAAGCCGGGGGGAGCAAACAGG
RNAcentral lists this ribosomal RNA (254 nucleotides) under uncultured bacterium. RNAcentral describes it as "partial 16S ribosomal RNA". It matches the Rfam family "Bacterial small subunit ribosomal RNA", at positions 524 to 776 of the family's 1533-position model. The record is from RNAcentral.